This 348-nucleotide ribosomal RNA is filed under the name uncultured Helicobacter sp. Its description in RNAcentral is "bacterial SSU rRNA". It matches the Rfam family "Bacterial small subunit ribosomal RNA", at positions 84 to 450 of the family's 1533-position model. Lineage: Bacteria; Pseudomonadati; Campylobacterota; Epsilonproteobacteria; Campylobacterales; Helicobacteraceae. The record is from RNAcentral.
AAAGUGGAUUAGUGGCGCACGGGUGAGUAAUGCAUAGGUUAUGUGCCCCAUAGUCUGGGAUAGCCACUGGAAACGGUGAUUAAUACCGGAUACUCCUUACGAGGGAAAGUCUUUCGCUAUGGGAUCAGCCUAUGUCCUAUCAGCUAGUUGGUGAGGUAAUGGCUCACCAAGGCUAUGACGGGUAUCCGGCCUGAGAGGGUGAACGGACACACUGGAACUGAGACACGGUCCAGACUCCUACGGGAGGCAGCAGUAGGGAAUAUUGCUCAAUGGGCGAAAGCCUGAAGCAGCAACGCCGCGUGGAGGAUGAAGGUUUAGGAUUGUAAACUCCUUUUGUUAGAGAAGAUU